UACGUAGGUGGCGAGCGUUGUCCGGAUUUACUGGGCGUAAAGGGAGCGUAGGCGGACUUUUAAGUGAGAUGUGAAAUACCCGGGCUCAACUUGGGUGCUGCAUUUCAAACUGGAAGUCUAGAGUGCAGGAGAGGGGAAUGGAAUUCCUAGUGUAGCGGUGAAAUGCGUAGAGAUUAGGAAGAACACCAGUGGCGAAGGCGAUUCUCUGGACUGUAACUGACGCUGAGGCUCGAAAGCGUGGGGAGCAAACAGGAUUAGAUACCCGCGUAGU
Molecule: ribosomal RNA, 271 nt
Filed under: uncultured prokaryote
Description: partial 16S ribosomal RNA
Rfam family: Bacterial small subunit ribosomal RNA
Source: RNAcentral